RNAcentral lists this ribosomal RNA (200 nucleotides) under uncultured eukaryote. RNAcentral's name for it is "partial 18S ribosomal RNA". It matches the Rfam family "Eukaryotic small subunit ribosomal RNA", at positions 588 to 783 of the family's 1831-position model. The record is from RNAcentral.
GCUCCAAUAGCGUAUAUUAAAGUUGCUGCAGUUAAAAAGCUCGUAGUUGGAUUUCUGACCUGAUACAUUUGGCCAGCCGCGAUUUCGCGUGUUAGUGCUUUAUGUUCUGGUCAUCCUUCCAAUCGCAACUGGCUCUUCUUCAUUGAUUGGUCAGUUGUAUUGGAUCUUUUACUUUGAAAAAAUUAGAGUGUUUCAAGCAG